CAGUCGCCGCGGGAAUACAGAGGGUGCGAGCGUUAAUCGGAUUUACUGGGCGUAAAGCGUGCGUAGGCGGCUUCUUAAGUCGGAUGUGAAAUCCCUGAGCUUAACUUAGGAAUUGCAUUCGAUACUGGGUAGCUAGAGUAUGGGAGAGGAUGGUAGAAUUCCAGGUGUAGCGGUGAAAUGCGUAGAGAUCUGGAGGAAUACCGAUGGCGAAGGCAGCCAUCUGGCCUAAUACUGACGCUGAGGUACGAAAGCAUGGGGAGCAAACAGGAUUAGAUACCCGUGUAGUCCCUGUCUCUUAUAC
RNAcentral lists this ribosomal RNA (301 nucleotides) under uncultured bacterium. RNAcentral describes it as "partial 16S ribosomal RNA". It matches the Rfam family "Bacterial small subunit ribosomal RNA", at positions 509 to 807 of the family's 1533-position model. The record is from RNAcentral.